This 468-nucleotide ribosomal RNA is filed under the name uncultured bacterium. RNAcentral describes it as "partial 16S ribosomal RNA". It matches the Rfam family "Bacterial small subunit ribosomal RNA", at positions 28 to 507 of the family's 1533-position model. The record is from RNAcentral.
GACGAACGCUGGCGGCGUGCUUAACACAUGCAAGUCGAACGGAAAGGCCCUGCUUUUGUGGGGUGCUCGAGUGGCGAACGGGUGAGUAACACGUGAGUAACCUGCCCUUGACUUUGGGAUAACUUCAGGAAACUGGGGCUAAUACCGGAUAGGAGCUCCUGCUGCAAGGUGGGGGUUGGAAAGUUUCGGCGGCUGGGGAUGGACUCGCGGCUUAUCAGCUUGUUGGUGGGGUAGUGGCUUACCAAGGCUUUGACGGGUAGCCGGCCUGAGAGGGUGACCGGCCACAUUGGGACUGAGAUACGGCCCAGACUCCUACGGGAGGCAGCAGUGGGGAAUAUUGCACAAUGGGCGGAAGCCUGAUGCAGCAACGCCGCGUGCGGGAUGACGGCCUUCGGGUUGUAAACCGCUUUCGCCUGUGACGAAGCGUGAGUGACGGUAAUGGGUAAAGAAGCACCGGCUAACUACGUG